CAGGGAUUGCCUUAGUAACGGCGAGUGAAGCGGCAACAGCUCAAAUUUGAAAUCUGGCUCUCGGGUCCGAAUUGUAAUUUGCAGAGGAUGCUUUUGGUUAGGAGCCUUCCGAGUUCCCUGGAAUGGGACGCCAUAGAGGGUGAGAGCCCCGUACGGUUGGAUUUCCGAGCCUAUGUAUAGCUCCCUCGACGAGUCGAGUAGUUUGGGAAUGCUGCUCAAAAUGGGAGGUAAACCCCUUCUAAAGCUAAAUAUUGGCCAGAGACCGAUAGCGCACAAGUAGAGUGAUCGAAAGAUGAAAAGCACUUUGGAAAGAGAGUUAAAAAGUACGUGAAAUUGUUGAAAGGGAAGCGCUUGUGACCAGACUUGCGUCUGUCAGUUCAGCCGUCCUUCUGGGCGGUGUAUUCUGUCGGCUCAGGCCAGCAUCAGUUUGUCGUUGGGGAGAAAGGUAGUGGGAAUGUGGCUCUUCGGAGUGUUAUAGCCCACUGCUAUACUCUUCGGCAGACUGAGGACCGCGCUUUAUUGCAAGGAUGCUGGCGUAAUGGUUAUCAGCGACCCGUCUUGAAACACGGACCAAGGAGUCGUCCUAAUAUGCGAGUGUUAGGGUGUAAAACCCCUACGCGAAAUGAAAGUGAACGGAGGUGGGAGCUUCGGCGCACCAUCGACCGAUCCUGACGUUUUCAGAUGGAUUUGAGUAAGAGCAUAUUGGGCCGGACCCGAAAGGAGGUGAACUAUGCUUGGAUAGGGUAAAGCCAGAGGAAACUCUGGUGGAGGCUCGCAGCGGUUCUGACGUGCAAAUCGAUCGUCAAAUCUGAGCAUGGGGGCGAAAGACUAAUCGAACCUCUUAGUAGCUGGUUUCCGCCGAAGUUUCCCUCAGGAUAGCAGUGUUGAUUCUCAGUUUUAUGAGGUAAAGCGAAUGAUUAGGGACUCGGGGGCGCUAUUUAGCCUUCAUCCAUUCUCAAACUUUAAAUAUGUAAGAAGCCCUUGUUACUUUAGUGAACGUGG
This 1002-nucleotide ribosomal RNA is filed under the name Oceanitis scuticella. RNAcentral's name for it is "eukaryotic LSU rRNA". It matches the Rfam family "Eukaryotic large subunit ribosomal RNA", at positions 69 to 1104 of the family's 3401-position model. The record is from RNAcentral. Lineage: Eukaryota; Fungi; Ascomycota; Sordariomycetes; Microascales; Halosphaeriaceae.